This 473-nucleotide ribosomal RNA is filed under the name uncultured bacterium. RNAcentral describes it as "bacterial SSU rRNA". It matches the Rfam family "Bacterial small subunit ribosomal RNA", at positions 34 to 507 of the family's 1533-position model. The record is from RNAcentral.
CGCUGGCGGCGUGACUUAACACAUGCAAGUCGAGCGGGGAUACGGAGGGAGCUUGCUCCUGAGUUAUUCUAGCGGCGGACGGGUGAGUAACGCGUGAGCCAACCUUUUCUCUCAGUGGGGAAUAACACAGGGAAACUUGUACUAAUACCGCAUGAGACCACAGAGUCGCAUGACUUAGGGGUCAAAGAUUUAUUGCUGAGAGGUGGGCUCGCGUCUGAUUAGGUAGUUGGUGAGGUUAACGGGCCCCACCAAGCCGACGAUCAGUAGCCGACCUGAGAGGGUGAUCGGCCACAUUGGGACUGAGAUACGGCCCAGACUCCUACGGGAGGCAGCAGUGGGGAAUAUUGGGCAAUGGGGGAAACCCUGACCCAGCAACGCCGCGUGAAGGAAGAAGGCUUUCGGGUUGUAAACUUCUUUUAGCAGGGACGAAGGACGUGACGGUACCUGCAGAAAAAGCAACGGCUAACUACGUG